This is a long non-coding RNA of Vigna angularis (adzuki bean), 1145 nucleotides long. RefSeq lists it as uncharacterized. The record is from RefSeq and is a predicted model, not a curated record. The transcript has 4 exons. Lineage: Eukaryota; Viridiplantae; Streptophyta; Magnoliopsida; Fabales; Fabaceae.
GCGAAGCUGAUGGUGAUGGAGGUUGGGUUCGAGCUUCACGAUUUCCGGUGGAUGGUGAUGAAAUGGAGCUAGGGAAAUUAGGGUUCUGUCUUGGGUGAUAAAGGGAUUUAUCACUUAUCACUUCCAAAGAGCACUUCUUUCUGGAAUAUACCAAACUGCUUCAGACUUUAUCAGACCCACAGCUUUCACAAAGAUCUUUUGCAGUUAAGCUCUUGAUACCAGUUUCAGAGAAAAGAAAAGAAAGUCACAGAUUCCAGAAAGAAGAAGAAGAAGAAAGAGAAGCUCCAGGAGAAGAGGAAAUCAGAAACGAAGAGGAGAGAAAGGAUCGGACAGAAACCAAGCACACACAAGUGAUAACUUGGCGCAUUGUUUUUGGCUGAUCGGGUUUGUAGAGGAUCAGUAAGUAAGAGGUAUCAAGAACUGCAUAUAAAAAUUAAUGCAUGGGAGAAGAAAAGGAAGAAAGUGUAUGGGGAGUGAAGAUGGCUGGAGCAGAAGGAGAAGCUGAUGGAAGAAAGAGCACGGAGGAAACAAGUGUAACAGCACAUGCAGAACUAAGGCGCAUAGAUUCUCUGAAUUUAGAGGCUGGAAGAGUUUCUAUGAAUGCACACAAGAAAAACAGCUUUGUUUGCAGGUGAAGUAAAAGAAAAAGAAUAACCAGAUGGAGAAUGAGCAUAAAGAAGCAAUAGAAGUGAACAUGUAAGAUAUUACUGUUUAAGGGAUGAUUGACGCACAGGACAAUAGGGCUUCCACAAUGGCUUAACAGAGAACAUGUAAAGGUUUGCAUGAAGGCCACAUAACCAUCCAAUUCUCUUGGCUUCGAAGCCAAGCCAAGGGACCAUCCUAUACUUACAACACAUUCUGUCAGACACAAAAAUGACAAAUCAGCCCCUUUUAUAACACAGCAUAAAUGAGAUAUUAUUAUGUCCAUCUCUUGGACAUUGUGGUCUUUACGGUGGUAGGGUUCAAUCUGGUAGCGUUUCAUUUUUUAAGCUAGAGGCAAUGUAAACAUUAAGAUAGGUGAGGAUAUUCCCAAGUCAGUUUCUCCUAAGAUGAUGACCCACAAUCGAUUACUUCUCUUUUGUUGAUCCUCAAUAUUAGAGCUUGGUUUAACUUAUUUAAGCUCGAUUUACUUAAACUUAAAAAAC